CCGGCUGUAGCUCAAGGGAUAGAGUAUUUCUAUGACGAAAUGGGUUGCGGGUUCGAAUCCCGCCAGCCGGA
RNAcentral lists this transfer RNA (71 nucleotides) under Actinomycetota bacterium. Its description in RNAcentral is "Actinobacteria bacterium tRNA-Ser". It matches the Rfam family "tRNA". Rfam says of the family: Transfer RNA (tRNA) molecules are approximately 80 nucleotides in length. The record is from RNAcentral. Lineage: Bacteria; Bacillati; Actinomycetota.